Molecule: small nucleolar RNA, 106 nt
Filed under: Gossypium arboreum
Lineage: Eukaryota; Viridiplantae; Streptophyta; Magnoliopsida; Malvales; Malvaceae
Description: Plant small nucleolar RNA R71
Rfam family: Plant small nucleolar RNA R71
About the family: R71 is a member of the C/D box family of snoRNAs containing the C (UGAUGA) and D (CUGA) box motifs. Multiple nearly identical copies of this snoRNA have been identified in Arabidopsis, and it is thought to function as a 2'-O-ribose methylation guide for 18S ribosomal RNA.
Source: Rfam by way of RNAcentral
AACCCAUGGUGAGGGCACCUUCUCAAUAAGUCCUUGUAUCUCUCCCAUGCAUCGUAAAGUGUUUCUAAAUCCAUUUGCAGAAAAGAAGAGAUAUCAUUAUGUAAUU